GGGGAUAUAGCUUAGUGGUGUAAGCACCUGCCUGGCAAGUACAAGGUCCUGAGUUUGAUUCCCACUACCCUCC
RNAcentral lists this transfer RNA (73 nucleotides) under Cavia porcellus (domestic guinea pig). It matches the Rfam family "tRNA". From Rfam's summary of the family: Transfer RNA (tRNA) molecules are approximately 80 nucleotides in length. Lineage: Eukaryota; Metazoa; Chordata; Mammalia; Rodentia; Caviidae. The record is from Rfam by way of RNAcentral.